AACUCGCCUGCAUGAAGCUGGAAUUGCUAGUAAUCACAGGUCAGCAUACUGUGGUGAAUACGUUCCCGGGCCUUGUACACACCGCCCGUCACACCAUGAGAGUUGAGAAUACCCGAAGUCCAUGUCAAAGUGGCCGAAGGUAGGCUUGAUGAUUGGGGUGAAGUCGUAACAAGGUAAC
RNAcentral lists this ribosomal RNA (178 nucleotides) under uncultured bacterium. RNAcentral's name for it is "partial 16S ribosomal RNA". It matches the Rfam family "Bacterial small subunit ribosomal RNA", at positions 1309 to 1500 of the family's 1533-position model. The record is from RNAcentral.